Molecule: long non-coding RNA, 742 nt
Filed under: Equus caballus (horse)
Lineage: Eukaryota; Metazoa; Chordata; Mammalia; Perissodactyla; Equidae
Description: lncRNA (ENSECAG00000056791.1)
Source: RNAcentral
AUGAAACCUCCCCUGCCGGGGGCCACCACAGUCCCUCUGCUGAAGCAUCUCACAGAAGGGGGCCAGGUAGCAGCCCAGCCCAGGAUAGCCCUGGUGGGCUGUAAGGGCGAGGCUGGGGGCAGGGGAGGGAGAAGAGGUGAUGCGAGUCAGCCUGAAGGGCCCAGGAACAUUUUAGAGGAGGCGACAUCUGAGACUAAAGGACAAAGAAAACCAGGCCAUGAAGGGGGAGAUAAAGGGAGUCCCAGGGAGCAGGACCAAUGUGAGCAAACCUCCACACAGGGCACGAGAGAACUCAGUGUCCUGGGGAGAGGCAGCAUGUAUGGCCAGAGCAUCUGUGAGAAGAGCAGAUGGUACAGCUGAGGCUGGACAGCGGGCCAGGGCAGAACCCGCCGGACCUUCAGGGCUGCACAGAGGAAAGAAAACACUAUUACUUAAGAAAAAUCGCGACAUCUUUGAGAAGUCCUGCGCUGGCUUUCCUCUAUCCAAUGAUGAUGCUGUUUCUGGUAUGCAGCAGAGGAGUACUGUCAGUUAAAAAUUAAGCAACAAAACAAAACUCAGACCAUGUGAGGGUCACGCUGUUUAAGAAAGCAGUCAAGGGGCUGGCCCCGUGGCCGAGUGGUUAAGUUCACGUGCUCCGCUGCAGGCGGCCCAGUGUUUCAUUGGUUCGAAUCCUGGGCGCGGACAUGGCACUGCUCAUCAAACCACGCUGAGGCGGCGUCCCACAGGCCACAACUAGAAGGAC